GCGAGCAUGGCGGAAUAGGUAGACGCAACGGACUUAAAAUCCGUUAUCAUUAUGGUGUGUGGGUUCGAGUCCCUCUGCUCGCACCA
Molecule: transfer RNA, 86 nt
Filed under: bacterium
Lineage: Bacteria
Description: tRNA-Leu
Rfam family: tRNA
About the family: Transfer RNA (tRNA) molecules are approximately 80 nucleotides in length. Their secondary structure includes four short double-helical elements and three loops (D, anti-codon, and T loops). Further hydrogen bonds mediate the characteristic L-shaped molecular structure. tRNAs have two regions of fundamental functional importance: the anti-codon, which is responsible for specific mRNA codon recognition, and the 3' end, to which the tRNAs corresponding amino acid is attached (by aminoacyl-tRNA synthetases). tRNAs cope with the degeneracy of the genetic code in two manners: having more than one tRNA (with a specific anti-codon) for a particular amino acid; and 'wobble' base-pairing, i.e. permitting non-standard base-pairing at the 3rd anti-codon position.
Source: RNAcentral